This 595-nucleotide long non-coding RNA is filed under the name Mytilus galloprovincialis (Mediterranean mussel). The record is from RNAcentral. Lineage: Eukaryota; Metazoa; Mollusca; Bivalvia; Mytilida; Mytilidae.
UGUUGAUAAAAAGGAGGUUGAGGAUACUAAGGGAUGAAUUAAUUAGCCAUUCUUUGGUUUAUGAGUGGAUUAAAGUAAUGUGGUUUAUCAUUGUUAAGAUCGAUGGACAGUAUUUACCGCACCGCUUGUGGUUUCUCAAUUUUUAUAUCAAUUUGAAAUCUAAAAACUAGUAUUUAUAAAAAAGAAGAUGUGGUAUGAUUGCCAAUGAGACAACUAUCCACAAAAGACCAAAAUGACACAAACAUUAACAACUAUAGGCCACCGUACGGCCUUCAACAAUGAUCAAAGCCCAUACUGCAUAGUCAGCUAUAAAAGGCCCCGAUAAGACAAUGUAAAACAAUUCAAACGAGAAAACUAACGGCCUUAUUAUGUAAAAAAAAAUGAACGAAAAACAAAUAUGUAACACAUAAACAAACGACAACCACUGAAUUACAGGCCCCUGACUUGGGACAGGCACAUAUAUAAAUAAUGUGGCGGGGUUAAACAUGUUAGCGGGAUCCCAACCCUCCCCCUAACCUGGGACAGUGGUAUAACAGUACAACAUAAGAACGAACUAUAAAAAUCAGUUGAAAAAGGCUUAACUCAUCAGAUAGAC